This 421-nucleotide ribosomal RNA is filed under the name uncultured bacterium. RNAcentral describes it as "bacterial SSU rRNA". It matches the Rfam family "Bacterial small subunit ribosomal RNA", at positions 506 to 930 of the family's 1533-position model. The record is from RNAcentral.
GGCCAGCAGCCGCGGUAAUACGUAGGGGGCGAGCGUUGUCCGGAUUUACUGGGCGUAAAGGGUGAGUAGGCGGUUAUUUAAGUCAGAUGUAAAAGGCUAUGGCUCAACUAUAGUAAGCAUUUGAAACUGGAUGACUUGAGUGCAGGAGAGGUAAGUGGAAUUCCUAGUGUAGCGGUGAAAUGCGUAGAUAUUAGGAGGAACACCAGUGGCGAAGGCGACUUACUGGACUGUAACUGACGCUGAGUCACGAAAGCGUGGGUAGCAAACAGGAUUAGAUACCCUGGUAGUCCACGCUGUAAACGAUGAGUGCUAGGUGUUGGCUAGCGAUAGUCAGUGCCGACGUAAACACAAUAAGCACUCCGCCUGGGGAGUACGGUCGCAAGACUGAAACUCAAAGGAAUUGACGGGGGCCCGCACAAGC